Molecule: ribosomal RNA, 489 nt
Filed under: uncultured bacterium
Lineage: Bacteria
Description: bacterial SSU rRNA
Rfam family: Bacterial small subunit ribosomal RNA
Source: RNAcentral
GAUGAACGCUAGCGGCAGGCUUAAUACAUGCAAGUCGUGGGGCAGCAUGAGUAGCAAUACUUGAUGGCGACCGGCAAACGGGUGAGGAACACGUACACAACCUUCCUUCAAGCGGGGAAUAGCCCAGAGAAAUUUGGAUUAAUACCCCAUAAUAUAUUUGAUAAGGCAUCUUAUUAAUAUUAAAGCUUCGGCACUUGAUGAUGGGUGUGCGGCUGAUUAGAUAGUUGGCGGGGUAACGGCCCACCAAGUCUACGAUCAGUAGCUGAUGUGAGAGCAUGAUCAGCCACACGGGCACUGAGACACGGGCCCGACUCCUACGGGAAGCAGCAGUAAGGAAUAUUGGACAAUGGACGAAAGUCUGAUCCAGCCAUGCCGCGUGAAGGAUUAAGGUCCUCUGGAUUGUAAACUUCUUUAUAUGGGACGAAAAAGGGCAUUCUUGUUCACUUGACGGUACCAUAUGAAUAAGCACCGGCUAACUCCGUGCCAGCA